GCAUGACUUUUUUUUUUUUAAACAAUAAACAUAGGGGCAAAAGUGGGAAUUAGAUUGGAAUCGGGUCGGAUCAUAUCUCAACCGGAGCGUGGAAUUGAGAAAUAAAUUAGGGAUCAAUUAUGAGAAGGGGGUGUUAGAGGCGCGAUCAAUCAGAGUGAUAGAGAGAGUAAUAGAAGAAAACGGAGCGGUGUAUUGAUCAAAGAGUUUAAUUAAGGAGUAACCAUGUCGUUAAUGAAGGGAGAGCCAUUGGUGAGGAAGGUGGCCCUCAUAGCUAAGUACGUUGUGUUUCCUGGAGCUAUGGCUGCUGCAGUCAUCUACUCUCCUCCCGCUUACGCUUCUUAUUAUAAGCCCCAAUCCUCUUCGUCUAAAUAAAUCAUUUUGGUUACCAUAUGGGGUUCUUUUUGACUAGUCGAAUGCUUCUGGUUGCAGUAGUUUACUGAAAUGCUCUAUUUGCAAUAGACGUGGUAUGUAAUAAAUCAAUGGCAGCUUGUUUCUGUACUCAAACUGUCGACUUUUGAAAAUCGGUAUAGACUUGCUCCUUUCAAUUUAUAUUUUGUUAUCAUGUGAUCCUUUCUUCCAUCACAAAUGUUUCCAAGUUCCUUUCUAAGCAAUGGAGGACAGGAAAAUUUAAAGAGCAAUUAAUUCACAAAUAAAUUUGACUGUUUUGGUGUACUUAUUUAUUGAAUCUUUAUUUGAAACCAA
Capsicum annuum is the source of this 702-nucleotide long non-coding RNA. RefSeq lists it as uncharacterized. NCBI's taxonomy places the organism in Eukaryota, Viridiplantae, Streptophyta, Magnoliopsida, Solanales, Solanaceae. The record is from RefSeq and is a predicted model, not a curated record. The transcript is spliced from 2 exons.